UACGUAGGGUGCAAGCGUUAAUCGGAAUCACUGGGCGUAAAGCGUGCGCAGGCGGUUGUGCAAGACAGAUGUGAAAUCCCCGGGCUCAACCUGGGAACUGCAUUUGUGACUGCACAGCUUGAGUGCGGCAGAGGGGGAUGGAAUUCCGCGUGUAGCAGUGAAAUGCGUAGAUAUGCGGAGGAACACCGAUGGCGAAGGCAAUCCCCUGGGCCUGCACUGACGCUCAUGCACGAAAGCGUGGGGAGCAAACAGG
This 253-nucleotide ribosomal RNA is filed under the name uncultured bacterium. RNAcentral's name for it is "partial 16S ribosomal RNA". It matches the Rfam family "Bacterial small subunit ribosomal RNA", at positions 524 to 776 of the family's 1533-position model. The record is from RNAcentral.